AAUAAGAGGUCCCGCCUGCCCGGUGACUAAGUUUAACGGCCGCGGUAUUUUGACCGUGCAAAGGUAGCGCAAUCACUUGUCUUUUAAAUGGAGACCUGUAUGAAUGGCAUCACGAGGGCUUAACUGUCUCCUUUCUCAGACCAAUGAAAUUGAUCUCUCCGUGCAGAAGCGGAGAUUACCACAUAAGACGAGAAGACCCUAUGGAGCUUUAGACACCAAGACAGCCUAUGUUAAGCAACCCCAUAUUAAGGGACUAAACUAGAUAACCCCUGUCCUAAUGUCUUUGGUUGGGGCGACCCUGGGGAGAUAAAGAACCCCCAUGUGGACUGGAAGCAUGCUUCUAGGACCAAGAGCAACAGCUCUAAGUAGCAGAAUUUCUGACCGACUAGAUCCGGCAAAGCCGAUCAACGGACCGAGUUACCCUAGGGAUAACAGCGCAAUCCCCUUUUAGAGGCCAUAUCGACAAGGGGGUUUACGACCUCGAUGUUGGAUCAGGACAUCCUAAUGGUGCAGCCGCUAUUAAGGGUUCGUUUGUUCAACGAUUAAAGUCCU
This 552-nucleotide ribosomal RNA is filed under the name Labrichthys unilineatus. Its description in RNAcentral is "partial 16S ribosomal RNA". It matches the Rfam family "Bacterial large subunit ribosomal RNA", at positions 1844 to 2597 of the family's 2925-position model. Lineage: Eukaryota; Metazoa; Chordata; Actinopteri; Labriformes; Labridae. The record is from RNAcentral.